Molecule: ribosomal RNA, 578 nt
Filed under: uncultured Acidobacteriota bacterium
Lineage: Bacteria; Pseudomonadati; Acidobacteriota
Description: bacterial SSU rRNA
Rfam family: Bacterial small subunit ribosomal RNA
Source: RNAcentral
GUGGAGCAAUCCAUGAGUACAGUGGCGCACGGGUGAGUAACACGUGAAUGAUCUACCUCCGAGUGGGGAAUAACCUAGGGAAACCUGGGCUAAUACCGCAUAACACUUACGAGUCAGAGCAGCAAUGCGCUUGGAGAGGAGUUCGCGGCAGAUUAGCUAGUUGGCGGGGUAAUGGCCCACCAAGGCGAUGAUCUGUAUCCGGCCUGAGAGGGCGCACGGACACACUGGAACUGAAACACGGUCCAGACUCCUACGGGAGGCAGCAGUGGGGAAUUUUGCGCAAUGGGGGAAACCCUGACGCAGCAACGCCGCGUGGAGGAUGAAAUCCCUUGGGAUGUAAACUCCUUUCGAUCGGGACGAUUAUGACGGUACCGGAAGAAGAAGCCCCGGCUAACUUCGUGCCAGCAGCCGCGGUAAUACGAGGGGGGCGAGCGUUGUUCGGAAUUAUUGGGCGUAAAGGGUGCGUAGGCGGUUUGAUAAGUCAUCUGUGAAAUCUCUGGGCUCAACCCAGAGUCUGCAGGCGAAACUGUCGGGCUUGAGUAUGGGAGAGGUGAGUGGAAUUUCCGGUGUAGCGGUGA